AAGGUUCGACUCGAGCGCCAGCGAGAGAGCGUUGCCGCAGGCAACGACCCGAAGGGCGAAGCGCGCAGCGCUGAGUAAUCCUUCCCCCACCACCA
This 95-nucleotide small RNA is filed under the name Escherichia coli. RNAcentral's name for it is "partial RtT sRNA". It matches the Rfam family "RtT RNA", at positions 38 to 130 of the family's 130-position model. Rfam says of the family: This family represents a bacterial cis-regulatory element known as RtT RNA. The exact function of RtT is unknown although it is thought that it may be involved in changing the cellular response in relation to amino acid starvation. Lineage: Bacteria; Pseudomonadati; Pseudomonadota; Gammaproteobacteria; Enterobacterales; Enterobacteriaceae. The record is from RNAcentral.